GAUGAAGAACGUAGCGAAAUGCGAUAAGUAGUGUGAAUUGCAGAAUUCAGUGAAUCAUCGAAUCUUUGAACGCACAUUGCUCCCCUUGGUAUUCCAUGGGGCAUGCCUGUUCGAGCGUCAUUUGUACCCUCAAGCUUUGCUUGGUGUUGGGCGACGUCCUCUUUGGGGACGCGCCUCGAAACGCUCGGCGGCGUGGCACCGGCUUUAAGCGUAGCAGAAUCUUUCGCUUUGGAAGUCGGGGCCCCGUCUGCCGGAAGACCUGCUCGCAAGGUUGACCUCGGAUCAGGCAGGGAUACCCGCUGAACUUAAGCAUAUCAAUAAGCGGAGGA
Molecule: unclassified non-coding RNA, 329 nt
Filed under: soil metagenome
Description: partial contains 5.8S ribosomal RNA, internal transcribed spacer 2, and large subunit ribosomal RNA
Rfam family: 5.8S ribosomal RNA (bases 1-120)
Source: RNAcentral